AUGCAGAUAAAACACAUAUUAACAAUAAAGGUCAUUCUUGAUGUUUUUCUCAACUAUUUCUUUUUUAUUCCAGGGCCAGCAGGUGUAUGUUCACUCUCUGUGUUUCACGUCAAUGGGACCGCCGCCACAGUGUCAUGGAAACCAGCCACUGGUCAUUUUGAUUUUUAUAGAGUGGCGGUCAGUAACAUCUCUCAUAUCUGGACAUUAGAUGUGAGUCCACACUCGCAGGUGGUCACCGUCAGCAGCCUGUGGAAUGGCUGCUCCUACAACAUCACUGUUCAACGCUUCAGAAACAACAUCAGUGGAACUGCUGCCACAAUCACCAUACGUACAGUCCCUGUCAGUCCUGAGGGGUUGCGGGUGAUAAGCGUGUCACCUCGUGCUUUCUCACUCCACUGGUUGGCAUCACCUGGAUGUGAUAAGGACUACAUGGUCCAACUGCAUCCUGACCACGGCAAUAUCAACAUCACCACCACAGCAGACAGUGGAGUGCAGGCUCAAGUGUCCAGUGUAACCCCUGGAACAUCAUACACUGUGACGGUCAAUGCGGUGGCCUCGUCAGGGUUCAGCUCACCUGUCAGCCGAAUACUCGUCACCACUAAUGAAUCCUGUAAGUCUGUGUGUUCCCUUCUUAAACCACUAUUCCCUUAUAUAUAUAUAUUCCUCUAGAC
This is a long non-coding RNA of Cyprinus carpio (common carp), 671 nucleotides long. NCBI's taxonomy places the organism in Eukaryota, Metazoa, Chordata, Actinopteri, Cypriniformes, Cyprinidae. The record is from Ensembl.